Molecule: ribosomal RNA, 468 nt
Filed under: uncultured bacterium
Lineage: Bacteria
Description: partial 16S ribosomal RNA
Rfam family: Bacterial small subunit ribosomal RNA
Source: RNAcentral
GACGAACGCUGGCGGCGUGCUUAACACAUGCAAGUCGAACGGAAAGGCCCUGCUUUUGUGGGGUGCUCGAGUGGCGAACGGGUGAGUAACACGUGAGUAACCUGCCCUUGACUUUGGGAUAACUUCAGGAAACGGGGGCUAAUACCGGAUAGGAGCUCCUGUUGCAUGGUGGGGGUUGGAAAGUUUCGGCGGUUGGGGUUGGACUCGCGGCUGAUGCGCUUGUUGGUGGGGGAGGGGCUUACCAAGGCUUUGACGGGUAGCCGGCCUGGGAGGGUGACCGGCCACAUUGGGACUGGGGUACGGCCCAGACUGCUACGGGAGGCAGCGGUGGGAAUUAUUGCACAAUGGGCGGAAGCCUGAUGCAACAACGCCGGGUGCGGGAUGACGGCCUUCGGGUUGUAAACCGCUUUCGCCUGUGACGAAGCGUGAGUGACGGUAAUGGGUAAAGAAGCACCGGCUAACUACGUG